GAUGAACGCUGGCGGCGUGCCUAACACAUGCAAGUCGAACGGAGUCGUUUUGGAAAUCUCUUCGGAGAUGGAAUUCUCGACUUAGUGGCGGACGGGUGAGUAACGCGUGUGCAAUCUGCCUUUAAGAGGGGGAUAACAGUCGGAAACGGCUGCUAAUACCGCAUAAAGCAUUAAAUUCGCAUGUUUUUGAUGCCAAAGGAGCAAUCCGCUUUUAGAUGAGCUCGCGUCUGAUUAGCUAGUUGGCGGGGUAACGGCCCACCAAGGCGACGAUCAGUAGCCGGACUGAGAGGUUGAACGGCCACAUUGGGACUGAGACACGGCCCAGACUCCUACGGGAGGCAGCAGUGGGGAAUAUUGCGCAAUGGGGGAAACCCUGACGCAGCAACGCCGCGUGAUUGAAGAAGGCCUUCGGGUUGUAAAGAUCUUUAAUCAGGGACGAAACAAAUGACGGUACCUGAAGAAUAAGCUCCGGCUAACUACGUG
RNAcentral lists this ribosomal RNA (483 nucleotides) under uncultured bacterium. Its description in RNAcentral is "partial 16S ribosomal RNA". It matches the Rfam family "Bacterial small subunit ribosomal RNA", at positions 28 to 507 of the family's 1533-position model. The record is from RNAcentral.